This 373-nucleotide ribosomal RNA is filed under the name uncultured eukaryote. RNAcentral describes it as "partial 18S ribosomal RNA". It matches the Rfam family "Eukaryotic small subunit ribosomal RNA", at positions 592 to 976 of the family's 1831-position model. The record is from RNAcentral.
CAAUAGCGUAUAUUAAAGUUGUUGCAGUUAAAAAGCCCGUAGUUGAAUUUUUGCUUGCCGCCGAUGUCGGAACUUCCGUACGUUCGGCGGCGUGCAUCCUUGGGUGGAACCUGUGUGGCAUUAGGUUGUCGUGCAGGGGAUGCUCAUCGUUUACUGUGAAAAAAUUAGAGUGUUCAAAGCAGGCUUACGCCGUUGAAUAUAUUAGCAUGGAAUAAUAAGAUAGGACCUUGGUACUAUUUUGUUGGUUUGCGCACCGAGGUAAUGAUUAACAGGGACAGUUGGGGGUAUUCGUAUUCCAUUGUCAGAGGUGAAAUUCUUGGAUUUCUGGAAGACGAACUACUGCGAAAGCAUUUACCAAGGAUGUUUUCAUUAA